This 910-nucleotide ribosomal RNA is filed under the name uncultured Bacillota bacterium. Its description in RNAcentral is "bacterial SSU rRNA". It matches the Rfam family "Bacterial small subunit ribosomal RNA", at positions 56 to 999 of the family's 1533-position model. Lineage: Bacteria; Bacillati; Bacillota. The record is from RNAcentral.
UGCAAGUCGAACGAGAAAGUGGGGCAACCCAUGAGUACAGUGGCGUACGGGUGAGUAACAUGUGGAUGAUCUACCCUCUAGUGGGGAAUAACCCAGGGAAACCGGGGCUAAUACCGCAUAAGCACGGGAGUGGAAAGCAGCAAUGCGCUGGAGGAGGAGUCCGCGGCCGAUUAGCUAGUUGGCAGGGUAAAAGCCUACCAAGGCAAAGAUCGGUAGCCGGCCUGAGAGGGCACACGGCCACACUGGCACUGAAACACGGGCCAGACUCCUACGGGAGGCAGCAGUGGGGAAUCUUGCACAAUGGGGGAAACCCUGAUGCAGCGACGCCGCGUGAGCGAUGAAGCCCUUCGGGGUGUAAAGCUCUUUCGGCAGGGAAGAUGAUGACGGUACCUGCAGAAGCAGCUGCGGCUAACUACGUGCCAGCAGCCGCGGUAAUACGUAGGCAGCAAGCGUUGUUCGGAGUUACUGGGCGUAAAGGGUGUGUAGGCGGUUGUUUAAGUUUGGUGUGAAAUCUCCCGGCUCAACUGGGAGGGUGCGCCGAAUACUGAAUGACUCGAGUGCGGGAGAGGAGAGUGGAAUUCCUGGUGUAGCGGUGAAAUGCGUAGAUAUCAGGAGGAACACCGGUGGUGUAGACGGCUCUCUGGACCGUAACUGACGCUGAGACACGAAAGCGUGGGUAGCAAACAGGAUUAGAUACCCUGGUAGUCCACGCCCUAAACGAUGCAUAUUUGGUGUGGGCAGUUCAUUCUGUCCGUGCCGGAGCUAACGCGUUAAAUAUGCCGCCUGGGGAGUACAGUCGCAAGGCUGAAACUCAAAGGAAUUGACGGGGGCCCGCACAAGCGGUGGAGCAUGUGGUUCAAUUCGACGCAACGCGAAGAACCUUACCUGGGCUCGAACGGCUGGUCAACGG